AGAGUUUGAUCCUGGCUCAGAACGAACGCUGGCGGCAGGCCUAACACAUGCAAGUCGAGCGGAAACGAUGGAGCUUGCUCCAGGCGUCGAGCGGCGGACGGGUGAGUAAUGCAUAGGAAUCUGCCCGGUAGUGGGGGAUAACCUGGGGAAACCCAGGCUAAUACCGCAUACGUCCUACGGGAGAAAGCAGGGGAUCUUCGGACCUUGCGCUAUCGGAUGAGCCUAUGUCGGAUUAGCUUGUUGGUGAGGUAAUGGCUCACCAAGGCGACGAUCCGUAGCUGGUCUGAGAGGAUGAUCAGCCACAUCGGGACUGAGACACGGCCCGAACUCCUACGGGAGGCAGCAGUGGGGAAUAUUGGACAAUGGGCGAAAGCCUGAUCCAGCCAUGCCGCGUGUGUGAAGAAGGCUUUCGGGUUGUAAAGCACUUUCAGUGAGGAAGAAGGCCUUGGGGCUAAUACCCCCGAGGAAGGACAUCACUCACAGAAGAAGCACCGGCUAACUCCGUGCCAGCAGCCGCGGUAAUACGGAGGGUGCGAGCGUUAAUCGGAAUUACUGGGCGUAAAGCGCGCGUAGGCGGCGUGAUAAGCCGGUUGUGAAAGCCCCGGGCUCAACCUGGGAACGGCAUCCGGAACUGUCAGGCUAGAGUGCAGGAGAGGAAGGUAGAAUUCCCGGUGUAGCGGUGAAAUGCGUAGAGAUCGGGAGGAAUACCAGUGGCGAAGGCGGCCUUCUGGACUGACACUGACGCUGAGGUGCGAAAGCGUGGGUAGCAAACAGGAUUAGAUACCCUGGUAGUCCACGCCGUAAACGAUGUCGACUAGCCGUUGGGGUCCUAGAGACCUUUGUGGCGCAGUUAACGCGAUAAGUCGACCGCCUGGGGAGUACGGCCGCAAGGUUAAAACUCAAAUGAAUUGACGGGGGCCCGCACAAGCGGUGGAGCAUGUGGUUUAAUUCGAUGCAACGCGAAGAACCUUACCUACCCUUGACAUCGUGCGAACUUUCCAGAGAUGGAUUGGUGCCUUCGGGAGCGCACAGACAGGUGCUGCAUGGCUGUCGUCAGCUCGUGUUGUGAAAUGUUGGGUUAAGUCCCGUAACGAGCGCAACCCUUGUCCCUAUUUGCCAGCGAUUCGGUCGGGAACUCUAGGGAGACUGCCGGUGACAAACCGGAGGAAGGUGGGGACGACGUCAAGUCAUCAUGGCCCUUACGGGUAGGGCUACACACGUGCUACAAUGGCCGGUACAAAGGGUUGCGAAGCCGCGAGGUGGAGCUAAUCCCGAAAAGCCGGU
RNAcentral lists this ribosomal RNA (1284 nucleotides) under Halomonas ventosae. RNAcentral's name for it is "bacterial SSU rRNA". It matches the Rfam family "Bacterial small subunit ribosomal RNA", at positions 8 to 1286 of the family's 1533-position model. The record is from RNAcentral. Lineage: Bacteria; Pseudomonadati; Pseudomonadota; Gammaproteobacteria; Oceanospirillales; Halomonadaceae.